This 1320-nucleotide long non-coding RNA is filed under the name Homo sapiens (human). Its description in RNAcentral is "HSALNT0153006". The record is from RNAcentral. Lineage: Eukaryota; Metazoa; Chordata; Mammalia; Primates; Hominidae.
GAGUCACUCACCGCAGCACUGGGAUGGUGGCCACAGGGCUGGUUGGCUGGGCCGUCUGGAAGGCGGUUUCCCUCUUCACGUCUGUCUAGAGAAUUUCAGGUUUGCCUUUGGAGGUGCUAUAAGGAGUUCCAAGUGAAUAUGUGAGAAACACAUCACUCUAUCCAUUGUAGGAUGACGAACACUGAGUAACUUGCUCAAUAUGGCACAGAAGGAGGACAAAAAGGUGACAGAAGGCACCCGUGUAUUGUUCCUGAUUUGGAUGGGUGUACUGUGUAGAUUUUGGAAUGAAGAGGACCCUGAAGCCCUAGGAGACAAGAACAGAACCACAAGAUGGAAAGAGUUUGGGUUCCCAGAAGGUGGCCCACCAACUGUCAAUAUCUGUGUUGGAUGUUCACCUGAAUGAAAAAACUUUUAUUGUAUUGAACCACUGGAGUUUGGGAAUUUGUUACAGCUGCUAGCAUUACCUUGUUUAUUUUGUUGUUGGUAAACUGGUAAAUCUAUAACUAAUAAAUAACAGGAACAUACGAAGGAUGCCUCAGAAGCUCCCUCUUCCUCUCUACUAAAGGUACAGGAAUGGUUAUUAUAGUUUAAAAGGCAGUUUUACAUAGUCAUUGAACCCUUACAACUUGGCAUAUUUACUGUUAUAUGGAGAAGAUUGGAAUUCAGUUAAGUGGCUUCUCCAAGGUCACUCAACUGGCAAUUAAGAGGGAGAUGCGGACUCCAACCAAGGCUUGUCUGGUAUUGCAGCCUCUACUACUUCUGUCACGGCACAGUAAUAAAUGUGAAAUUCUAUGGGGAUAAGUUCCCUUUCUGUCAAUAUCAUGUCCAAGAUGUUUGGACAUGUCCUUCUCCCUCCUUCUUUUCACCUUUGUCUCUGCCAGAGUUUCUUUAGGAUGCAGUGCCCAAGGCUUGUGAUUAAAAACAGCUGCAGAAGCAGGAGCAAAACAUUACCUAAAAAUAAGUAGCACCUCAGAACACAAUGUGCAUGGACUUCUGGGAGGUGGACAGAGUUGGUGGGGUGUGUGACAUAGAGCUGCCGCAGGGAAAGCUUUGGUUCUCCACAACAGGCAUCUCUUUCUGUGGUUGGCUAUUCCUGGGAGUCUCAAUGAACUUGAUCUCAGAAUCCAGGGCAAAAAAAAUGGACUCACUCUUCUGCUAAGGAAUGAGAAAACUUCCUUUAAGAGUUCAUUAUCCAAUUGGUUCAAACGUAUUUAAUAAAAUGGAAGAACUCUCAUCGAAAAUAUUAGGUAAAAAAAAUGAUGCAAAAUAGCCUAAUCAAAAUUUAAUUAAUAUUUUUAUACACACACAGUUUGCAAAAAG